AGUGAACGCUGGCGGUAGGCCUAACACAUGCAAGUCGAACGGCAGCACAGUAAGAGCUUGCUCUUACGGGUGGCGAGUGGCGGACGGGUGAGGAAUACAUCGGAAUCUACUUUUUCGUGGGGGAUAACGUAGGGAAACUUACGCUAAUACCGCAUACGACCUACGGGUGAAAGCAGGGGAUCUUCGGACCUUGCGCGAUUGAAUGAGCCGAUGUCGGAUUAGCUAGUUGGCGGGGUAAAGGCCCACCAAGGCGACGAUCCGUAGCUGGUCUGAGAGGAUGAUCAGCCACACUGGAACUGAGACAUGGUCCAGACUCCUACGGGAGGCAGCAGUGGGGAAUAUUGGACAAUGAGCGCAAGCCUGAUCCAGCCAUACCGCGUGGGUGAAGAAGGCCUUCGGGUUGUAAAGCCCUUUUGUUGGGAAAGAAAAGCAGCAGGUUAAUACCCCGCUGUUCUGACGGUACCCAAAGAAUAAGCACCGGCUAACUUCGUG
RNAcentral lists this ribosomal RNA (492 nucleotides) under uncultured bacterium. RNAcentral describes it as "partial 16S ribosomal RNA". It matches the Rfam family "Bacterial small subunit ribosomal RNA", at positions 29 to 507 of the family's 1533-position model. The record is from RNAcentral.